GAAAUGCGAUACGUAGUGUGAAUUGCAGAAUUCAGUGAACCAUCGAAUCUUUGAACGCACCUUGCGGCCGCCGGUAAUCCGGCGGCCAUGCCCGUCCGAGCGUCGUUUCGACCCUCGGCAGCCCCCCUCAGCCAGCAAUGGCAAGGGGCCGCUGCCGGCAUUGGGCCAGCGCGUUGCCGCCUUUCCAGGCGACGCGCGGCCCGCAGACCAGCGGCGGCAGCGCCCGCGAUGUCCCCUGCGCAGUAACUAAAGCUCGCAUUGGACUCCCGGCGCAGCCCGCCUUUUUUUCUUUUCUUUCGGCGGCUCUCAGCAGCCCUAAAGAAAAAAAAAAACCCCCUUUUAACAGGUCGACCUCGGAUCGGGUAGGACUACCCGCUAAACUUAA
RNAcentral lists this unclassified non-coding RNA (385 nucleotides) under uncultured Sordariomycetes. RNAcentral's name for it is "sequence contains ITS1". The stretch from base 1 to 105 matches the Rfam family "5.8S ribosomal RNA", at positions 50 to 154 of the family's 154-position model. The record is from RNAcentral. Lineage: Eukaryota; Fungi; Ascomycota; Sordariomycetes.